This 300-nucleotide unclassified non-coding RNA is filed under the name Pseudovibrio ascidiaceicola. Its description in RNAcentral is "Long range pseudoknot". The record is from RNAcentral. Lineage: Bacteria; Pseudomonadati; Pseudomonadota; Alphaproteobacteria; Hyphomicrobiales; Stappiaceae.
ACUCAUGAUUAUGAAGUGAAGAUGCGGAACAUGAAGCGCUUCUUUGAAGAUGGUGAUAAAGUGAAGGUGACACUUCGCUUCCGUGGCCGUGAAAUGGCUCACCAGGAUCUCGGCAUGAAGUUGCUCCUGAAGGUUAAAGCAGAGACUGCGGACAUCGCUAAAGUCGAGUCCCAUCCGAAGCUUGAAGGCCGCCAGAUGAUGAUGGUGCUCUCACCUAUCGCUCGUUAAUACGGGCAGGUUGAAGCGCUCCGGCUUUGUUUCCGUGUAGCUACUCAACCGUAGCCCCAGAGAAUUUUGAGA